CCUACGGGAGGCAGCAGUGGGGAAUAUUGCACAAUGGGGGAAACCCUGAUGCAGCGACGCCGCGUGAGUGAAGAAGUAAUUCGUUACGUAAAGCUCUAUCAGCAGGGAAGAAAUACUGACCUUACGGUCAGCAGACGGUACCUGAGUAAGAAGCCCCGGCUAACUACGUGCCAGCAGCCGCGGUAAUACGUAGGGGGCAAGCGUUAUCCGGAUUUACUGGGUGUAAAGGGAGCGUAGACGGUGCGCCAAGUCUGGAGGGAAAUGCCGCAGCUUAACUGCGGAACUGCGUUGGAAACUGGCGAACUAGAGUGCGGGAGGGGUAAGCGGAAUUCCUAGUGUAGCGGUGAAAUGCGUAGAUAUUAGGAGGAACACCGGUGGCGAAGGCGGCUUACUGGACCGUAACUGACGUUGAGGCUCGAAAGCGUGGGGAGCAAACAGGAUUAGAUACCCGGGUAGUC
This 458-nucleotide ribosomal RNA is filed under the name uncultured bacterium. RNAcentral's name for it is "partial 16S ribosomal RNA". It matches the Rfam family "Bacterial small subunit ribosomal RNA", at positions 338 to 795 of the family's 1533-position model. The record is from RNAcentral.